GGAGGUCCGAACCCACGAGCGUUGAAAAGCUCGGGGAUGACUUGUGGGUAGCGGUGAAAUUCCAAUCGAGCCCGGAGAUAGCUGGUUCUCCCCGAAAUAGCUUUAGGGCUAGCCUCAAGGUGAGAGAUACGGAGGUAGAGCACUGAAUGUCCUAGGGGGUAUUGCACCUACCGAAGACUAUCAAACUCCGAAUGCCGUCAUCUUAUACUUGGGAGUCAGACUGUGGGUGAUAAGAUUCAUAGUCGAAAGGGCAACAGCCCAGAUCGUCAGCUAAGGUCCCUAAAUGUAAGUUAAGUGGUAAAGGAUGUGGGAUUGCACAGACAACCAGGAUGUUGGCUUAGAAGCAGCCACUCAUUCAAAGAGUGCGUAAUAGCUCACUGGUCGAGUGAUCCUGCGCCGAAGAUUUCCGGGGCUAAAACUUACUACCGAAGCUACGGCAUCAGUAAUGAUGGGUAGGGGAGCUUCCCAUACGGGUUGAAGCAUGACCGUAAGGACAUGUGGACAGUAUGGGAGUGAGAAUGUUGGCAUGAGUAGCGAGAUGUGGGUGAGAAUCCCACAGGCCGUAAACCCAAGGUUUCCAGGGGAAGGUUCGUCCGCCCUGGGUUAGUCGGGACCUAAGCUGAGGCCGAAAGGCGGAGGUGAUGGACAACAGGUUGAUAUUCCUGUACUACCGAUAACCGUUUGAGAGAAGGGAUGACACAGUAGGAUAAGCUAAGCACACUGUUGGUUAUGUGUGCCCAAGCAUUGAGGCAGUCAAAGUAGGCAAAUCCGCUUUGAUAAUGCUGGGAUGUGAUGGGGAGCGAAAUUUAGUAGCGAAGUAGCUGAUUUCACACUGUCAAGAAAAGUCUCUAUCGAGGUUAAAGGUACCCGUACCGCAAACCGACACAGGUGGGUGAGGAGAGUAUCCUAAGGCCA
This 915-nucleotide ribosomal RNA is filed under the name Clostridioides difficile. RNAcentral describes it as "bacterial LSU rRNA". It matches the Rfam family "Bacterial large subunit ribosomal RNA", at positions 768 to 1689 of the family's 2925-position model. The record is from RNAcentral. Lineage: Bacteria; Bacillati; Bacillota; Clostridia; Peptostreptococcales; Peptostreptococcaceae.